UACAGAGGGUGCAAGCGUUGUUCGGAAUUACUGGGCGUAAAGCGUGCGCAGGCGGUUAUGUAAGACAGGUGUGAAAUCCCCGGGCUUAACCUGGGAACUGCAUUUGUGACUGCAUAGCUAGAGUACGGUAGAGGGGGAUGGAAUUCCGCGUGUAGCAGUGAAAUGCGUAGAUAUCAGGAGGAACACCGGUGGCGAAGGCGCUCAUCUGGCCCAAUACUGACGCUGAAGCUCGAAAGCUAGGGGAGCAAACGGG
Molecule: ribosomal RNA, 253 nt
Filed under: uncultured bacterium
Lineage: Bacteria
Description: partial 16S ribosomal RNA
Rfam family: Bacterial small subunit ribosomal RNA
Source: RNAcentral